CAGGUGAUUAUAUAAAAUUGAUGAAGUCAAUUUUUGAUUUUGAAUCUAUCAAGAAACUGUUGUCCUCUCCUAAGUUCACUUUCUGUUAUGAUGCACUUCAUGGGGUUGUUGGAGCAUAUGUAAAGAGUAUUUUUGUGGAUGAACUUGGAGCACAAAAAAGCUCUUUACUGAACUGUACACCUAAUGUCUUAUUCUCUUGUUGAUUAUUUCCAAGUAUGGCUUUCAAUAUUCUGAGUGCUGGUGGUGAUUUGUCUUUGAUUUGUGGAUGACUUAUUGGAUAUAGGAAGACUUUGGAGGAGGACACCCAGACCCCAAUUUGACUUAUGCGAAAGAGUUGGUUGCUCGAUUGGGAUUGGGCAAAUCAGAACCACAAGAUGAGCCCCCAGGGUUUCGUGCUGCUGCUGAUGGUGAUGCAGAUCGCAACAUGAUACUUGGUAAAAGGUAGUGUUACCCUUAUUUAUGAUGAAUUUGAAUAUUUUCUUACCUUUU
Molecule: long non-coding RNA, 489 nt
Organism: Vigna radiata var. radiata (mung bean)
Lineage: Eukaryota; Viridiplantae; Streptophyta; Magnoliopsida; Fabales; Fabaceae
Exons: 3
Source: RefSeq, a predicted model, not a curated record